UCUCCCUGUCUGACACAGACUCUCUACUUAGAGCGCUGGAGAGAGGACUGAAGCUCACACUAUCAGCACUGCUUCUCAAUGGGGGGAUGCAGCCAAGAGCAGACAGAGCAGUCAUUCCACUGGAGCCUUCCGCUGCACGCGUGAGAAGGAGACGACAAGUGAGGAGGGUAAAUUAGCUCCCUGUCAACAGAACAUAGGAGUUUUACUGACGGAGAAGAGACACUGAAGGAAGGAGAGCACAUCUUCACGAAUGUGGCUGAGACAGCAGUGACAUGAUCAGCCUUCCAUCCCUCAAAUCCUGGCCAGUUUGUAACAAAGACCCCUGGGUGUUUUGCUUUUGGUGACUGUUUGUGUUGCCAAAGGAUUUCAAAAAGAACCUGAGCAGCAGGGGUCCAAAAGGAUAUAUAGAAAGGAAAGAACAGCCUUUUUAGCUCCCUUUUGUGCAGUGUUUGGCUUAUCUGUUAGUGGAAUUUCAGGCUGAAAACCCUGGCUCCCAAGUAUGGAUGGAUUUAAGACUGAGGAGUGAGUCUGCUGGGCAGGCAGUGAUUCUGACUGAACUCCUUUGCUUCUGAACACAGCGCUCAGACUCGGCCUUACCAUGUCCUGGUUGUUGGCCAUGUGGAUUAGCCUCGGCUUCCUGCUGCUGUGCCAGGCAACUCUCUACCAGACCAUCCAACAGCACCAUGUGGCCCGGCCUGGUCGCACUGACAUUCUCACCCUGGAGGGUGGUACGUGCGAGGUGAUUGCUGCCCACCGAUGCUGUAACAAGAAUCGUAUCGAGGAGCGCUCUCAGACAGUCAAGUGCUCCUGUUUACCGGGGAAAGUGGCCGGAACGACACGCAACAAACCCUCCUGUGUGGAUGCGUCCAUUGUAAUUGGGAAAUGGUGGUGUGAGAUGGAACCGUGUCUGGAGGGAGAAGAGUGUAAGACUCUGCCUGACAACUCUGGAUGGAUGUGCUCCUCUGGGAACAAAAUCAAGACCACAAGGAACACCCAGCCAUACUCCCCUUUUUAGCUUCCGGAAGCAAAAUGCAGAGGAUGCGUCAACAGAAAUUGAGCUGCAUUCUUGCUUCUGUAAAGAUUCAUCCCAGGACCUAACAGAGAGCUCCCAUUGCAGGGCUCAGCGCCAGGCUCCUUCCCCUCAUGUACCCUUUCUCUUCUCAUCGAAUGGACUAAAACUAUUACAUCCACGGCUACUGACUGGAUUACCUGGGACCAUAGAAAGGAUAUCCACCCAGAUAAAACAGCUUUGCUCGCGUGGUGCCAAGGAUUUGAAACCAGACUAAUCCCGUGUUUGAUCAAUGAGCUCCAUGUUGGUGACUCUCCUCUUCCACACAGCUGUGGCCAGUUUCUGACCUACUCUUCCCUCACUCUGUUUCCCUAUUCAGAACUGAAGCAGCUUAGGAGGGGCUAUUUAGAGGUUGUUAAAACAUAAUUUGAAGACGUUCUCCCCGCCCGUCUGAGGGUGAACGUGUUGGCAAACUUUCAUAGACCUGAACCUGAAUCUGUGGAACUGAGGGCACAUUGGGGGAAAUUACGUCGCUUUAUUUUUAUUUCUGUGUGGAAAGCAUUUGUAUUUGACUCACUAACUGAGACUGAUGGCUUUGUUGUGGCUGCACCGAGGAAACUGUCAGCUGUUACCGCUAGAAAGGUCGAUUAAUGAAGACUCUCAGAGAGGCUUUAGGGUCAACCCCAUGGCCUCACGCUCAUCCUCCACGACGAACAUUCUGACUUUUAUUGGUGGGCAUGCCCAGUGUAAAUUCAUGAGCACUUCUUUUCUUUGUAUGUAAGAUAAUUUGUGUAUAUAUACACAUAUAUAAAUACAUUACAUGUUAAGCUGACAGAUCCAAGAAGCUGAAAAAUAUAUUUACAGAUUUCAAGCCCGUGUUGGAAUCCUGAAUAACCCUUGAACGUAAGCCAGAGGCUGUCGUCACAGUGCGGUGUGUCUAGGACUGCUUCGCGUUGGGGGGAAAAAGCCACAACGGAAUCAUAAAAAUAAGUUCUGCUCACUUUUGUCAUUCAGCAAUGUUGUUUGGUUACUCCAGAAAGCGCUUGUUGUUUCAGUAAAGCUGAGGAAAACACUG
RNA transcript from Neolamprologus brichardi, 2084 nucleotides. It is a transcript of the gene named TAFA chemokine like family member 1b, with no coding region annotated. The record is from RefSeq and is a predicted model, not a curated record. Lineage: Eukaryota; Metazoa; Chordata; Actinopteri; Cichliformes; Cichlidae.